RNAcentral lists this ribosomal RNA (305 nucleotides) under uncultured bacterium. Its description in RNAcentral is "bacterial SSU rRNA". It matches the Rfam family "Bacterial small subunit ribosomal RNA", at positions 331 to 654 of the family's 1533-position model. The record is from RNAcentral.
CUGGGCCUACGGGGGGCAGCAGUGGGGAAUAUUGCACAAUGGGGGAAACCCUGAUGCAGCGACGCCGCGUGAGUGAAGAAGUAUCUCGGUACGUAAAGCUCUAUCAGCAGGGAAGAAAAUGACGGUACCUGACUAAGAAGCCCCGGCUAACUACGUGCCAGCAGCCGCGGUAAUACGUAGGGGGCAAGCGUUAUCCGGAUUUACUGGGUGUAAAGGGAGCGUAGACGGCAGCGCAAGUCUGGAGUGAAAUGCCGGGGCCCAACCCCGGUACAGGCUCUGGAAACUGGCGGGCUAGAGAGCAGGAG